GUGACCUCAAAUCAGGUAGGACUACCCGCUGAACUUAAGCAUAUCAAUAAGCGGAGGAAAAGAAACUAACAAGGAUUCCCCUAGUAACUGCGAGUGAAGCGGGAAAAGCUCAAAUUUAAAAUCUGGCAGUCUUUGGCUGUCCGAGUUGUAUCUAGAGAAGUGUUAUCCGCGCUGGACCGUGUACAAGUCUCCUGGAAUGGAGCAUCAUAGAGGG
This 214-nucleotide ribosomal RNA is filed under the name uncultured Cortinarius. RNAcentral describes it as "partial 28S ribosomal RNA". It matches the Rfam family "Eukaryotic large subunit ribosomal RNA", at positions 1 to 212 of the family's 3401-position model. The record is from RNAcentral. Lineage: Eukaryota; Fungi; Basidiomycota; Agaricomycetes; Agaricales; Cortinariaceae.